GCAAAGUCAAUACAGUUUUUUCUAGGAUGAAUGAGCCAUGACUUUGUGUUUGUUAUGUUGGUUUGUGUGUCUGCUAUGACAGAAAAUGCUGGGACAUAUUGCCUCAAGCCAAGCCAGCUUUUGUUCUCCUGCUGUUGAAUGUCUCUUGGUUUGGAGUUUGACAGGUUUUAGAAGAAUAUGGCCAAAGUGGUUUUUUCAGCAUGAAUGAAAUUCUAUAUGUUUGUCA
Molecule: long non-coding RNA, 226 nt
Filed under: Lathyrus oleraceus (garden pea)
Lineage: Eukaryota; Viridiplantae; Streptophyta; Magnoliopsida; Fabales; Fabaceae
Description: Pisum sativum (pea) long non-coding RNA (PSAT_LNC040248)
Source: RNAcentral